Molecule: small nucleolar RNA, 92 nt
Organism: Tupaia belangeri (northern tree shrew)
Lineage: Eukaryota; Metazoa; Chordata; Mammalia; Scandentia; Tupaiidae
Source: Ensembl
CCACUCCCACGAUGUCCAGCACUGGGCUGCAAUUACCCAUGAGGACACAGUGCCUCCCAGGAUCUCUGACACCUUGGGGGUCUGAGGGGCCC